GUCAAUCCCAGUAUUCUUGCUUUGUUCUGCUAAGGAGAGUGGGUGAUCCACUAAAAUAUUUGCUUUGCUUUCUCGCUUGAACAGCUUCACUUUCUGAGGCUGUAUACUGUGUGUCUCCUUUGCUUCUAGGAGAGAUCUCAUAUCCGUACAAGGAAUCUGGGGCUUAAGAUGAUGGCUAAAACUGGCCACCAGGCAAGAGAAAGUAGAGCUUUUUCCCAAAUUGCCACCAUGGGGUGCUGCUGAUACUUCAGCAGGGCAAUUAAAACGGUUCUUCUGCACUGUACUUUCCCAUUAGGAACUGUUUCAUUGGAGCCGCAAGGGGUUGCUCUUAAUGCAAGAAAUAGGCAAGAUGUUACUGGGUGUAUCUUCUUUGAUGAUGGACAAAGAUGGCCUUAAGCUUGUUCCCACAGUCUCAGUGUUAUUCAAGCGCAAGACCAGCCAUUACUAAUCAGGAAACCUAUCACUGCACAAAGGACUAGUUCCAUGCCUUUUGAUGCCUCUCAUCUCUUUAACACGUCACGGAUUCUUGACCGGACGAAAGGCAGUGUGUCAUCCCCAUCCUCCACUCCCAUCACUGCUGCCUGCAGCCAUGCAACCUAAUUGUCUGGGCUGGGUCUGGUUGCUUUCCCAAGACCUCACAGUGCCAGGAUGCCUCCUUGCCUGGUUGGAAGCAGAACGCAAGUCUGCACUCGCUCUCUUCCAACUCAUGUACGCUGCCUCGCUUGCAGUAUGUCCCACAGGAUAGGAGAUCUCAUGUGGGACAUUUCAAACUGUUCUGGGCGACCUCAGGACCAACUCACGGAACAGCCGGCUGAACGAUUUCUGCCUUCUUUAAAAGAUUGGUCUCAAGGCUGAGCUGAGGUUCUGUUUGCUUGUCCUCCAAGAUAGGCAAGAUCAAGAAACAGGCAUGGAAGGGAUUCUAGAAUGCUCUUCAG
RNAcentral lists this long non-coding RNA (935 nucleotides) under Laticauda laticaudata (blue-ringed sea krait). Its description in RNAcentral is "lncRNA (ENSLLTG00000016462.1)". The record is from RNAcentral. Lineage: Eukaryota; Metazoa; Chordata; Lepidosauria; Squamata; Elapidae.